ACGGAAGGCAGCAGUGAGGAAUAUUGGUCAAUGGAGGCAACUCUGAACCAGCCAUCUCGCGUGAAGGAAUACGGCCCUACGGGUCUUAAACUUCUUUUAUAGGGGGAUAAAGUGAGCCACGUGUGGCUUUUUGUAGGUACCCUAUGAAUAAGCAUCGGCUAACUCCGUGCCAGCAGCCGCGGUAAUACGGAGGAUGCGAGCGUUAUCCGGAUUUAUUGGGUUUAAAGGGUGCGCAGGCGGCACGUUAAGUCAGCGGUGAAAUGUAGGGGCUCAACCCGGGCACUGCCGUUGAAACUGGCGAGCUUGAGUACGGAUGAAGUCGGCGGAAUGUGAUGUGUAGCGGUGAAAUGCUUAGAUAUGUCACAGAACACCGAUUGCGAAGGCAGCUGACUAAUCCGCAACUGACGCUCAGGCACGAAAGCGUGGGGAUCGAACAGGAUUAGAUACCCUGGUA
RNAcentral lists this ribosomal RNA (454 nucleotides) under uncultured Porphyromonas sp. Its description in RNAcentral is "partial 16S ribosomal RNA". It matches the Rfam family "Bacterial small subunit ribosomal RNA", at positions 341 to 792 of the family's 1533-position model. Lineage: Bacteria; Pseudomonadati; Bacteroidota; Bacteroidia; Bacteroidales; Porphyromonadaceae. The record is from RNAcentral.